GUAGGUGGCAAGCGUUGUCCGGAAUUAUUGGGCGUAAAGCGCGCCCAGGCGGUUCUUUAAGUCUGAUGUGAAAGCCCACGGCUCAACCGUGGAGGGUCAUUGGAAACUGGAGAACUUGAGUACAGAAGAGGAAAGCGGAAUUCCACGUGUAGCGGUGAAAUGCGUAGAGAUGUGGAGGAACACCAGUGGCGAAGGCGGCUUUCUGGUCUGUAACUGACGCUGAGGCGCGAAAGCGUGGGGAGCAAACAGGGAUUAGAUACCCUGGUAGUCCACGCCGUAAACGAUGAGUGCUAAGUGUUAGGGGGGGUUUCCGCCCCCUUAGUGCUGCAGCUAACGCAUUAAGCACUCCGCCUGGGGAGUACGGCCGCAAGGCUG
Molecule: ribosomal RNA, 375 nt
Filed under: uncultured organism
Description: partial 16S ribosomal RNA
Rfam family: Bacterial small subunit ribosomal RNA
Source: RNAcentral